RNAcentral lists this ribosomal RNA (777 nucleotides) under uncultured marine bacterium. RNAcentral describes it as "bacterial SSU rRNA". It matches the Rfam family "Bacterial small subunit ribosomal RNA", at positions 52 to 870 of the family's 1533-position model. The record is from RNAcentral.
UACAUGCAAGUCGAACGAAGUCUUCGGACUUAGUGGCGCACGGGUGAGUAUCAUGUGGGAAUCUACCUGAAGGUUCGGAAUAACUGCGGGAAACUGUAGCUAAUACCGGAUGUGUCUGCAAAGAGAAAGAUUUAUCGCCUUCAGAUGAGCCCGCACUAGAUUAGCUAGUUGGUGAGGUAACUGCUCCACCAAGGCUACGAUCUAUAGCUGAUUUGAGAGGAUGAUCAGCCACACUGGGACUGAGACACGGCCCAGACUCCUACGGGAGGCAGCAGUAGGGAAUAUUGGACAAUGGGGGAAACCCUGAUCCAGCAAUGCCGCGUGAGUGAAGAAGGCCCUCGGGUUGUAAAACUCUUUCAUCAACGAUGAUAAUGACAUUAAUUGAAGAAGAAGCUCCGGCUAACUUCGUGCCAGCAGCCGCGGUAAUACGAAGGGGGCUAGCGUUGUUCGGAAUCACUGGGCGUAAAGCGUAUGUAGGCGGAUCAAAAAAGUUAGAUGUGAAAUCCCUGGGGCUCAACCCAGGAACUGCAUUUAAAACUAGUGAUCUAGAAAUUGGGUAAAGGUUAGUAGAAUUUCCAGUGUAGAGGUGUAAUUCCGUAGAUAUUGGAAAGAAUACCAGAGGCGAAGGCCAACUAACUAGGCCAUUUUUGACGCUGAAAUACCAAAGCCGUGGGUAGCAAACAGGAUUAGAUACCCUGGUAGUCCACGCAGUAAACGGAUGAGUGCUAGUCGCUGGGACAUUAGUUUCAGUGUCGAAGCUAACGCAUUAAGCACUCC